Molecule: transfer RNA, 68 nt
Filed under: Aristelliger praesignis (Woodslave)
Lineage: Eukaryota; Metazoa; Chordata; Lepidosauria; Squamata; Sphaerodactylidae
Description: tRNA-Val
Source: RNAcentral
CCAUAGGGUAACCUAAACACUAAGGUAUUCAACUUACAAUUGAAAAAUGUUCCCCUGAACCCCUAUGA